Molecule: ribosomal RNA, 253 nt
Filed under: uncultured bacterium
Lineage: Bacteria
Description: partial 16S ribosomal RNA
Rfam family: Bacterial small subunit ribosomal RNA
Source: RNAcentral
GACGAACCGUGCGAACGUUUUUCGGAAUCACUGGGCUUCAAGGGUGCGUAGGCGGGUUGUCCAGUCUGGGGUGAAAUCCCACGGCUCAACCGUGGAAUUGCCUCAGAUACUGACGACCUCGAGGGAGGUAGGGGCUAGCGGAACUGUGGGUGGAGCGGUGAAAUGCGUUGAUAUCCACAGGAUCUCCGGUGGCGAAGGCGGCUCGCUGGACCUCUUCUGACGCUGAGGCACGAAAGCUAGGGGAGCAAACGGG